GGCCCGGUAGCGGAUGGUGCACACCCGCACCAUAUUAUCGGGCCAGUAGUUUGCAGUGGGAGCGCUCGUUCGACUCGAGCCCGGGCCA
Molecule: non-coding RNA, 88 nt
Organism: Mycena vulgaris
Lineage: Eukaryota; Fungi; Basidiomycota; Agaricomycetes; Agaricales; Mycenaceae
Source: the annotation of a GenBank genome assembly